UACGUAGGAGGCAAGCGUUGUCCGGAAUUACUGGGCGUAAAGCGCGUGUAGGUGGUGGGACAAGUCUGCUGUGAAAGCGCCUGGCUUAACCGGGCGAGGUCCGUGGAAACUGGUCAGCUGGAGGACGGUAGAGGCGAGUGGAAUUCCCGGUGUAGUGGUGAAAUGCGUAGAGAUCGGGAGGAACACCUGUGGCGAAGGCGGCUCACUGGCCCGGUACUGACGCUGAGAUACGAAAGCGUGGGGAGCAAACAGG
Molecule: ribosomal RNA, 253 nt
Filed under: uncultured bacterium
Lineage: Bacteria
Description: partial 16S ribosomal RNA
Rfam family: Bacterial small subunit ribosomal RNA
Source: RNAcentral